This 831-nucleotide long non-coding RNA is filed under the name Salmo salar (Atlantic salmon). Its description in RNAcentral is "lncRNA (ENSSSAG00000087188.1, ENSSSAG00020065420.1)". The record is from RNAcentral. Lineage: Eukaryota; Metazoa; Chordata; Actinopteri; Salmoniformes; Salmonidae.
AUCAAGAUGAGGUGACAUGUGUGGGGGUAAUAGAGGAGUUUCUCUCUCUGUGUGUGUGUCUCUGCCUGUGUCUACAUAACAGCCUCAAUUCGUACACAAUCCAUCUCUCAAUUGUCAAGGUUUAAAAAUCCUUCUUUAACCCGUCGUCUCUUCAUCUACACUGAAGUGGAUUGAACCAGUCACAUCAAUAAGGGAUCAUAGCUUUCACCUGGAUUCAACUGCAGGUCCACAUAUACCUUUGCAUCUGUAAUGAAAUGAACAGCAGAGGUUGUAGAUGUCAUCCCGCUGUUGAUCCUUGAAUCUACACAAAUAUAAAAAAGGACCUGGACGACUCCACAUAGUCAAGGGAAUUCUGAGGUAUACCAGGAGAUUCUUGAACAGAACAUCAUGCCAUCAGUCAAGGAGCUAAAGCUGGGCCGAAAAUGGUCUUGCAACAAGACAACGACACAAAGCAUUCAAGCAAAUCAACCAAAGAAUGGCUCAGGAGAAAGAAGACUUGUUUUGGAUUGGACAAGUCAAAGUCCUGACCUAAAACCAAUUUAGAGGCUGUUGCAGGACCUGAAGCAGGCAGUUCAUGCCAGACAACCCUCGAACCUCACUCAAUUGGCUAAGUUCUGGAGGAGCGGGAAAAAAAUCCCUCAAAACAGAUGUCAGAGACUGAUUACUGGCUAUAGGAGACGUUUACUCCAAGUUAUCGCUGCUAUUGACCUAGGGGGUUCACAUUUUUUCACAUUUCAAAUCUGAGUUUGACCAAUAAACCACUUGUUAAAUAAACAAUGAAAAUAUAUUUUGUUUCUGUCAUUUACUUGGAAUAUAGUUAUUACGAAUUGG